This 434-nucleotide ribosomal RNA is filed under the name uncultured bacterium. RNAcentral describes it as "partial 16S ribosomal RNA". It matches the Rfam family "Bacterial small subunit ribosomal RNA", at positions 29 to 507 of the family's 1533-position model. The record is from RNAcentral.
AGCGAACGCUGGCGGCAGGCCUAACACAUGCAAGUCGAACGAACCUUUCGGGGUUAGUGGCGGACGGGUGAGUAACACGUGGGAACGUGCCUUUAGGUUCGGAAUUACUCAGGUAAACUUGUGCUAAUACCGAAUGUGUCCCUCUGGGGAAAGAUUAAACCUCUUUAGAGCGGCCCGCGUCUGUUUAGCUAGUUGGGUUUGGUAAUGGCGCACCAAGGCUACGAUCAGUAGCUGGUCUGAGAGGAAGAUCAGGCACAUUGGGACUGAGACACGGCCCAAACUCCUACGGGAGGCAGGAGUGGGGAAUCCUGCGCUAUGGGCGAGAGCCUGACGGAGCCAUGCCGCGUGAAUGAUGAAGGUCUUAGGAUUGUAAAAUUCUUUCACCGGGGACGAUAAUGACGGUACCCGGAGAAGAAGCCCCGGCUAACUUCGUG